Molecule: ribosomal RNA, 253 nt
Filed under: uncultured bacterium
Lineage: Bacteria
Description: partial 16S ribosomal RNA
Rfam family: Bacterial small subunit ribosomal RNA
Source: RNAcentral
UACGUAGGGUGCGAGCGUUAAUCGGAAUUACUGGGCGUAAAGCGUGCGCAGGCGGUUUUGUAAGCCAGAUGUGAAAUCCCCGGGCUUAACCUGGGAAUGGCAUUUGGGACUGCAAGGCUGGAGUUUGGCAGAGGAGACUGGAAUUCUCGGUGUAGCGGUGAAAUGCGUAGAUAUCGAGAGGAACACCUGCGGCGAAGGCGGGUUGCUGGGCUGACACUGACGCUGAAGCGCGAAAGCUAGGGGAGCGAACGGG